Molecule: long non-coding RNA, 1092 nt
Organism: Nycticebus coucang (slow loris)
Lineage: Eukaryota; Metazoa; Chordata; Mammalia; Primates; Lorisidae
Exons: 3
Source: RefSeq, a predicted model, not a curated record
AGACAAGAAGCCCAAGGACUAAACUUGGGUAACCCAGAACUGAAUCUGGAGACAUGUGAAGGAGCCAGUAAAGGAUGCUGAGAAAUGGCCGACACACAGAGUGAUACCAGGGACGUGGUGCCAAGGGAAAAGACCGUGUUGGAGCACAGUGAGACGGUGGGCAUCUGCAAGCCAAACAGAGAGGCCCUGUGAGACACCAACCAGAUCUGCCAACUCCUUGAGCUUGGACUUCAGGCCUCCAGAACUGUGAGAAAAUAAAUGUCUGCUGCUUAAGUUACCCAUUCUGCGGUGUUUUGUUAUGGCAGCCCUGGAAAACUGAUACAAGCCAUUUGAAAGAAAGUUGCCGACAUCAUGAAACUUCUCUGGAAAAUCUUCAAUUGCCACUUUCUAAGACUAAGGAUAUUCUCCUACAUAACCACAUUGAAAUCCUGGUUCCUGACAGCAUCAGUAUAUAUUUUUUUCUUUAUUCUACAAUAUAUAUAAAAUAGCUUUAGAAUUCCAAUAUUAAUAUCACUACCAGUCAUAAAUCUCUGAAGUAGAGUUUAGAUUGUUUGAAGUCCCUUUUUUAUUUAGAUUAUGAGGACACUAAGCAUGUGUAAUCAUGAUACGGUGUUUAGUACAAAAAUGGGUAAUUCAAGUUAAUUCUAACAGUUACUUUGUAGAUCCUUAGUGAGAUAUGUGAGGACGAAAGAGAUCUGUAAACAGAUAUUAUGAUACAGACAUUUAUUUGUUUCCUUUUAUACUCACUUUUAGAGUUUUCUUUUUAAAAUAAUUUCAUUGCUUUUUUUAAUGAAUCACUUUUACUUGGUUCAACAGUCAGAACAAUAAAGAUAGUUACAUUCAAAGAAUUACCACUCCCAUCCUUGACUUCCACUGUGUUGCCAUCCUACUCCAUAAUUAGAUAUUUUCAUGGAGCUCCUGUUUUAUCCUUUCUGUGUUUCCUUUUUGGCAAAAAAUAAGCAAAUAUAUACACAUAUUCUUAUUUUCCUUUAUUUUUUACACCAUAGUGUACCAUAUAUUCCUUAUUUUUUUUCAUUUAAUAUUUCCUGGAAAUCAUUCUGUAUCAGUUUAUAGAAACCUUUUCUUCCUUUU